CACGUAGGGGGCGAGCGUUGUCCGGAUUUAUUGGGCGUAAAGAGCUCGUAGGCGGCUCAGUAAGUCGGGUGUGAAAACUCCAGGCUCAACCUGGAGACGCCACCUGAUACUGCUGUGGCUAGAGUCCGGUAGGGGAGCAUGGAAUUCCUGGUGUAGCGGUGAAAUGCGCAGAUAUCAGGAAGAACACCAACGGCGAAGGCAGCUCGCUGGGACGGUACUGACGCUGAGACGCGAAAGCGUGGGGAGCGAACAGG
Molecule: ribosomal RNA, 254 nt
Filed under: uncultured bacterium
Lineage: Bacteria
Description: partial 16S ribosomal RNA
Rfam family: Bacterial small subunit ribosomal RNA
Source: RNAcentral